This 434-nucleotide ribosomal RNA is filed under the name uncultured bacterium. RNAcentral's name for it is "partial 16S ribosomal RNA". It matches the Rfam family "Bacterial small subunit ribosomal RNA", at positions 29 to 507 of the family's 1533-position model. The record is from RNAcentral.
GCGAACGCUGGCGGCAGGCUUAACACAUGCAAGUCGAGCGGGCAUCUUCGGAUGUCAGCGGCAGACGGGUAAGUAACACGUGGGAACGUACCCUUCGGUUCGGAACAACUCUGGGAAACUGGAGCUAAUACCGGAUACGCCCUUAUGGGGAAAGGUUUACUGCCGAAGGAUCGGCCCGCGUCUGAUUAGCUAGUUGGUGGGGUAACGGCCUACCAAGGCGACGAUCAGUAGCUGGUCUGAGAGGAUGAUCAGCCACACUGGGACUGAGACACGGCCCAGACUCCUACGGGAGGCAGCAGUGGGGAAUAUUGGACAAUGGGCGCAAGCCUGAUCCAGCCAUGCCGCGUGAGUGAUGAAGGCCUUAGGGUUGUAAAGCUCUUUUGUCCGGGACGAUAAUGACGGUACCGGAAGAAUAAGCCCCGGCUAACUUCGUG